AUGCGCAGUCCACGCCCCGCGGGGCGACGGGCAGGGCGGUUGUCAGGGGCGACCGCAUUCUCCCGGGACUCCGCGCCCGCGCGGGCGGGGACAGGCCGAGCGGGCCCGCCUCCCUCGCGCUCUGAUUGGCUGAGGCCGCUGCUCGUUGGCGUCGUCGCGGCCGCCGAUUGGGCAAAGGCAAGUUCGCACGCUCGGCUCGGGGCCACGCCCCCCCCGCCGGCCCGCGCCAGCCACCCGGGAGGGGAGGACGCUUGGGGACUCCGCGCGGCCCCGGGAGGGACCUGCGCGAGCCUCGGCCUCCAGGCGGGCGCGGCCCGGGCGGUGGGCGGCGAUGAUCCCCGAGGAGAGGCCGGGCGGCCCGGGCGCCGGCGAGGACAGCACGAGGCUGCAGGCAGCAGGCAGCGUUCGAAAGGUGGGCGCGUCCGCGGGGCCGGGGGCCGGAGUGGGGGUCGGGGACCCCAGCCCACCUUGGCUGCCACCUGCCGCCGGCGGGCGCGGGGCUGCGGGGUCGGCGCGGCUUCUCAGGUCUGUGCGCUGCAAGACUUGUGGCAGCCUCCCCCCACCCCCCGCCCUCCCUCCGGAGGCUGCCCUCCGGGGAAACUGAGGCACGGCGCACAGGCCGGGCCCGCCCGCCUGCCUGCGCUGGGCGCCCCUCAUCCCGUCCGGGGCACAGCCUGUGCGGCUCAGCAGAGCUCAGCGCCUCUCCGCCGCUCGGGGACGCCGCGGCCCCGCUCGGCAGGUGUUGGGCUCGGGUCUGAGGCCGCGGCCCCGUGCCAGCUCCCCGUGCCCGUCACUCCUUCCCUAGCUUCUCCCUCCCUCUCGCCGGGGCUGCUCAGCCUUGCCCCUGGCGCCUGGCUCUGUCUUGACCGAAACUUUCCGCGCCCGCAGCGGGAGCCUCCCGGGGACAGGAAGUGGCAGGAGGACCUCACAGCUGGGCAGUUUGUCCUUUCCUCGCUCACCGUGCACCUCCCCCUCCCCCCCCCCCCCCCCCCCCCCCCCGUCUGA
RNAcentral lists this long non-coding RNA (1005 nucleotides) under Canis lupus familiaris (dog). RNAcentral describes it as "lncRNA (ENSCAFG00040011277.1)". Lineage: Eukaryota; Metazoa; Chordata; Mammalia; Carnivora; Canidae. The record is from RNAcentral.